Long non-coding RNA from Aedes aegypti (yellow fever mosquito), 1337 nucleotides. RefSeq lists it as uncharacterized. NCBI's taxonomy places the organism in Eukaryota, Metazoa, Arthropoda, Insecta, Diptera, Culicidae. The transcript has 2 exons. The record is from RefSeq and is a predicted model, not a curated record.
AAAGGUAGUUGUAAACGGCCCGCGGGAUUUUCUUUAUGGCUGGAAUCCGCGCGUCGACUCUAGCACGAUCUCGCGGUGUUUACUCGAUCUUACCGACAACUGGUAGACGCCAACUGAGUGCGUUUCCCCAAUCUUCCCCUUCGGACUGACAGGCUGGGUGGCUGACCCAGUACCUGCUGGCGGAAGGUUCGACUAGAGAACCGUGUCUCUUUAACAGUUAAGCACUGAUUCGUCGGAACGACACUCGCCAGGCGAGUGGUCCGCAACCGAAGGAAGCGAGUGUUUAACCGUUGUUACGGCGGUUCAACAACAGAGGAGAACCAGUCGUGGAUAUUUCCUCUUGUUUUUCCCUUCAGACGGACAGGCUGAUGUUUUAACCAGUACCUGACAGUGGAAGGUUCCAAUAGGGAGCUCUCUCUCUUAACGAUUGAAAGCUGACUCGUCAGAACGACACCCGCCAGGCGAGUAGUCCGCAACCGAAGGAGUCGAGUUUGCAAUCGUUGGUGAUAACCUUAGUGGUUGGACUUACCAGGAAUUUCUCUCUAGAAAGACAAGUUGCCUGUUCCGAGUCUAAACGUAAGAUCAUGUAUUUCGUGGUUGGUUCUGGGUUUUUAUAGGCGACUUUCGUCGAUCUGGGGGACUUAUUCUAAGAAGUGACAAAUGCAGUUCUAUCGUAGGUCCUAUUGAUUCUUAAAGUUAGAAAGGGACAAUUGUCGUGAUUGCCUAAAUCUAAUUUUCUCCCACGAGAAAGAAGCAAAGAGAUUUCAAUGUUUUAGGUUUUUUCUCGUAAGGUAUGUCUCUGAGUGCGUAGGUAAUAAAUUUCGAAUUUAAUUACUUUGUUUCUUUCGUUGCGUGGGAUGAUUACUUUCUAUGCGUGGGUUGACGCAGGGACAUAUUUGUUCUUGUUGCGCCUUACCAUUAGAUCAAUGCUUUCCCUUUCUCUUCGUUAUGACUCCUGUCCGCGUAUCAAUCGAAUGCGUCAGGCUCAGCGAGGGCCUGCGCUUUGUGCUUAUGACGGUUUGGUCCUACCUGCUUGCUAUGGAAGGAAAUUGUUAACGAUCUUUGUUUUUAUGGCUUUCCCUUCCUUCUGAGUUGAUGGGGCAGUGCGCCUUUACUUUCUAAUGCUAAUGUUACCAUCUGUUUUUUGUGCUGAGUGAUGGCUCUGUCUGUUUAGAAUGCUAUAGGGGAAGGGAUCGGUAAGGUUCUAGUAUAUCCCUUCGCAUGGUUUGAGUUGCCUUCUUCUGUUUGUGGGUCGUAAAUUACGUGCUUAUUGGCUAGUUGUUUAAUUUCGUUUCUUCUCUCUGUCAUUGGUUCGCAUCCGAUCGCAAAUUAAUCGU